This is a long non-coding RNA of Corapipo altera (White-ruffed manakin), 442 nucleotides long. RefSeq lists it as uncharacterized. NCBI's taxonomy places the organism in Eukaryota, Metazoa, Chordata, Aves, Passeriformes, Pipridae. The record is from RefSeq and is a predicted model, not a curated record. The transcript is spliced from 2 exons.
AGAGAGUUCCCAAGGAACCAGUGUCGAGAGGUGUGGUGGGCAAAGGUGGGUUUUCAGGCAGAGGAACCAGAGGUGGGCCUGGGAAUUUGAAUGGAGACUGGAAAAAUGGCCGUGGAUAAUAAUGAGCUAAGCAAGUCCUAAGGAGUGAGUUUGGGUCAUCAGAAUGCAACCAGCCCAAAGGAGGUGCUGCCUGAAGUCCUGGAUUAGACAUGCUUCCCAAAAUCCCAAACGUGUUCCCCUGUCUACAUGAAGAGAACUGGGAACACUCAUCUGCUAACUGGGCUGUGGGGAAGAUGCUACUCUUGCUCUCUGAUGUCUCAGUCGGUGGCUGAUAAUGAAAAUUGAUGGUGAUUCAUAAAGACAUCUCCUUUCCUGAGAAAACUGGAACAGCAUCUUACGUAAUCCCGAGAUUUACUUAAUUAAGGAACAUCCCAGCUAUUUG